Molecule: unclassified non-coding RNA, 328 nt
Filed under: soil metagenome
Description: partial contains 5.8S ribosomal RNA, internal transcribed spacer 2, and large subunit ribosomal RNA
Rfam family: 5.8S ribosomal RNA (bases 1-120)
Source: RNAcentral
GAUGAAGAACGUAGCGAAAUGCGAUAAGUAAUGUGAAUUGCAGAAUUCAGUGAAUCAUCGAAUCUUUGAACGCACAUUGCGCCCCCUGGUAUUCCGGGGGGCAUGCCUGUUCGAGCGUCAUUACAACCCUCAAGCUCUGCUUGGUAUUGGGCCCCGCCAGUUCUGGCGGGCCCUAAAGUCAGUGGCGGUGCCUUCCGGCUCCGAGCGUAGUAAUUCUUCUCGCUCUGGAGACCCGGUUGUGUGCUUGCCAACAACCCCCAAUUUUUUAAGGUUGACCUCGGAUCAGGUAGGGAUACCCGCUGAACUUAAGCAUAUCAUAAGCGGAGGA